UGGUGCCAGCAGCCGCGGUAAUUCCAGCUCCAAUAGCGUAUAUUAAAGUUGUUGCAGUUAAAAAGCUCGUAGUUGGAUUUCGGGGUUAGUAGGUUGGUCAUGCCUCUGGUAUGUACUGGUCUCACUGAUUCCUCCUUCCUUAUGAACCGUAAUGCCAUUAAUUUGGUGUUGCGGGGAAUUUGGACUGUUACUUUGAAAAAAUUAGAGUGUUUAAAGCAAGCUAACGCUUGAAUACAUUAGCAUGGAAUAAUGAAAUAGGACGUUCGAUCUUAUUUUGUUGGUUUCUAGGAUUGACGUAAUGAUUAAUAGGGAUAGUUGGGGGCAUUAGUAUUCAAUUGUCAGAGGUGAAAUUCUUGGAUUUAUUGAAGACUAACUACUGCGAAAGCAUUUGCCAAGGAUGUUUUCAUUAAUCAAGAACGAAAGUUAGGGGAUCGAAGACGAUCAGAUACCGUCGUAGUCUUAACCAUAAACUAUGCCGACUAGGAU
Molecule: ribosomal RNA, 486 nt
Filed under: uncultured Rhizophagus
Lineage: Eukaryota; Fungi; Glomeromycota; Glomeromycetes; Glomerales; Glomeraceae
Description: SSU rRNA
Rfam family: Eukaryotic small subunit ribosomal RNA
Source: RNAcentral